This 682-nucleotide ribosomal RNA is filed under the name archaeon enrichment culture clone A21H85. RNAcentral describes it as "bacterial SSU rRNA". It matches the Rfam family "Archaeal small subunit ribosomal RNA", at positions 21 to 709 of the family's 1478-position model. The record is from RNAcentral.
GGUUACUGCUAUCGAGGUUCGACUAAGCCAUGCGAGUCGAAUGUAGCAAUACAUGGCGAACUGCUCAGUAACACGUGGACAACCUGCCCUUAGGUUGGGUAUAAACCCGGGAAACUGGGUAUAAUACCCGAUAGGUCUCGAUUGCUGGAAUGCAUCGAGAUUUAAAGCUCCGGCGCCUAAGGAUGGGUCUGCGGCCUAUCAGGUAGUAGUGGGUGUAGCGUACCUACUAGCCUACGACGGGUACGGGUUGUGAGAGCAAGAGCCCGGAGAUGGAUUCUGAGACACCAAUCCAGGCCCUACGGGGUGCAACAGGCGCGAAAACUUUACAAUGCUGGCAACAGCGAUUAGGGAACCUCGAGUGCCAAGUUACAAAUCUGGCUGUCAAGAUGCCUAAAAAGCAUUUCAUAGCACGGGCCGGGCAAGACCGGUGCCAGCCGCCGCGGUAACACCGGCGGCUCGAGUGGUAACCGUUAUUAUUGGGUCUAAAGGGUCUGUAGCCGGCCGGAUAAGUCUCUUGAGAAAUCUGGCAGCUUAACUGUCAGGCUUUCAUGAGAUACUGUCUGGCUCGAAGCCUGGAGAGGUGAGAAGUACUUCACGGGUAUGGGUGAAAUCUUGUAAUCCUUGAAUGACCACCAGUGGCGAAGGCGUCUCACCAGAACGGACCUGACGGCCAGGGACGAAA